This 253-nucleotide ribosomal RNA is filed under the name uncultured bacterium. RNAcentral describes it as "partial 16S ribosomal RNA". It matches the Rfam family "Bacterial small subunit ribosomal RNA", at positions 524 to 776 of the family's 1533-position model. The record is from RNAcentral.
UACGAAGGGGGCUAGCGUUGUUCGGAAUCACUGGGCGUAAAGCGCACGUAGGCGGAUCUUUAAGUCAGGGGUGAAAUCCCGAGGCUCAACCUCGGAACUGCCUUUGAUACUGGGGAUCUCGAGUCCGGGAGAGGUGAGUGGAACUGCGAGUGCAGAGGUGAAAUUCGUAGAUAUUCGCAAGAACACCAGUGGCGAAGGCGGCUCACUGGCCCGGAACUGACGCUGAGGCGCGAAGGCUAGGGGAGCAAACAGG